UAAGGUCUUUAAUAACUACAAUAUAUUUAACUUAACAUAUUUACUAAGCCUUUUGUUUCCUGCCUGUCUGAGUCUCUGUUUGUGCUGCCACUUCCUGUCUCUGAUGCACAGACUGCUGGGAUCUGUAGUACUGCAGGAAACCCUGUACGCAGCUACACUACAGCAACCAUUAUUACAACACUGAGAACAUCAUGGCCCAGGGGAUGCCAGGGAAGAGGCAGCAAAUGGGAGAAGAUCUCAUCAGGAGAAUUGGCUCAUCCCCAUGGCUUAAUUUCUCUCUCCCUUGACUAUUAUUGCUUGACUGUGAUGGCCUUAUCUAAUUCCACAAAGCCUUUUGAAUUACUUUCAAUGAAAGACACAUUACAAAAAAUGAAUUUUGCCAAUGAAUGUUCACAUUCUGCAGUCAACAGUUUGUGGGAAUUCAAUGGAACUAGAUCGUCUUAAUAGAUUCCAUUGGACAGAAAUCUUCACAGCCAUUAUGCUUUGGAACCUAGUUUGCUGAAACUGCCGACCAUGGGAUCUACUGCACACUGGACUCCAGCAAACAACCAGGUUCCUGGUUCAUACAUACAGGCUCAUUACUUGAUUUCUGUUUUGUUUGUUUGUUAUUUCUCCCUGUAAACUGCUUUGGGAGCUUUUGUUGAAAAGUGGUGAAUAUGUUCGUAGUAGUGGUAUUCAUGGUAGUAUUUCUCUAUCUGUCUAUCAUAUUUAUAUACCGGCUGAUACGUGCAUCUCUAGGCAGUGUACACAAUUUAAAACACAACAAAUAUAAAAUAAAGUAAAAACAAAACAAUUUCAUGGAAUAAAAAGUUCAAACAAUCUCAUAGAACAAAAACAAUUAAAUAGUUUAAAAUUAAUUUCAGUUAAAAGCUUGAGAAACAGGUGUCUUGAGGGUCUUCCUAAAAGCAAACAGAGGAGGAGAUGCUCUUAUUUUGACAGGGAGCAUACUCCAAAGCCCCGGGGCAGCAAACCAUCUCUCAGGUCCCGACCCCCCACAGUCAGUAGCUCCAUUUUAUUUGGUUUCAACUUCAGCUUGUUACCCCACAUCCAGCCCAUUACUGCCUCCAAGCAGGCAUUUAGGGAUGUUAUGGAAUUUCCUGCUGAGGUCGAUACGAAUGAUCUUGGUUUGAAAUGGGUCUAGAUAAUCUGUAUCAUCCAAAACUGCCUGGAGCCGAGAGACCACCACCUGUUCAAUCACCUUGCCCAGCUAUGGAAGAUUGGAAACGGGACUAUAAUUAGCUAACUGAUUCAAUGCAGAUUUCUUCAAACUAGCUGACCUCACACAGAGCAUCUGUGCAGUUGUGUACUGAGCCUGUGACAUCUCCCGCAGCUCACUCUCCCCCCCGCCGCAGCUCACUCACUCGCUCUCCACCCCGCAGCUUGCUCGCUCUC
Hemicordylus capensis (graceful crag lizard) is the source of this 1392-nucleotide long non-coding RNA. RefSeq lists it as uncharacterized. The transcript has 3 exons. NCBI's taxonomy places the organism in Eukaryota, Metazoa, Chordata, Lepidosauria, Squamata, Cordylidae. The record is from RefSeq and is a predicted model, not a curated record.